GAUGAACGCUGGCGGCGUGCCUAACACAUGCAAGUCGAACGAAGAGAGAUGGAUGCUUGCUUCUAUCAAUCUUAGUCGGGAACGGGUGAGUAACGCGUAUUCAACCUGCCCUUCAGAGGGGGACAACAGUGGGAAACGACUGCUAAUACGACAUACGAUCUAACCUCGGCAUCGAGGAAAGAUGAAAGGUUUCCUCUAUGUAUAAGCUAUCACUGACGGAGGGGAUGGCGUCUGAUUAGCUAGUGGGUGGGGUAAGGGCCGACCAAGGCGAUGAUCGUUAGCGGGCUUGAGAGGGUAAUCGCCCACACGGGACUGGAGACCGGGCCCAGACUCUUAGGGGAGGAAGCAGUGGGGAUCAUUCGCCAAUGAGGGAAAUCUGAAUGAAGCACGGCGGGGGGGGGGAAGAGGCCUUUGGGUUGUUAAACCCUUUUAAUCGGGGAGGAAGGCCUGCUUGCGAAUAGUGGGAUGUAUUGACGGUACCGGAAUAGAAAGCCACGGCUAACUACGUG
Molecule: ribosomal RNA, 509 nt
Filed under: uncultured bacterium
Lineage: Bacteria
Description: partial 16S ribosomal RNA
Rfam family: Bacterial small subunit ribosomal RNA
Source: RNAcentral